CCCUGGGUAGUGCAAAAGGCUUACACUUGGCUGGUAACCAAAAGGCUGGUGGUUCAAACCCACCCACUGGCA
This 72-nucleotide transfer RNA is filed under the name Loxodonta africana (African savanna elephant). It matches the Rfam family "tRNA". Rfam says of the family: Transfer RNA (tRNA) molecules are approximately 80 nucleotides in length. Their secondary structure includes four short double-helical elements and three loops (D, anti-codon, and T loops). Further hydrogen bonds mediate the characteristic L-shaped molecular structure. tRNAs have two regions of fundamental functional importance: the anti-codon, which is responsible for specific mRNA codon recognition, and the 3' end, to which the tRNAs corresponding amino acid is attached (by aminoacyl-tRNA synthetases). tRNAs cope with the degeneracy of the genetic code in two manners: having more than one tRNA (with a specific anti-codon) for a particular amino acid; and 'wobble' base-pairing, i.e. permitting non-standard base-pairing at the 3rd anti-codon position. Lineage: Eukaryota; Metazoa; Chordata; Mammalia; Proboscidea; Elephantidae. The record is from Rfam by way of RNAcentral.